UAGGCCUAACACAUGCAAGUCGAGCGAGGACUUCGGUCCUAGCGGCGGACGGGUGAGUAACGCGUGGGAACGUGCCCUUUGCUACGGAAUAGCCCCGGGAAACUGGGAGUAAUACCGUAUGUGCCCUUUGGGGGAAAGAUUUAUCGGCAAAGGAUCGGCCCGCGUUGGAUUAGGUAGUUGGUGGGGUAAUGGCCUACCAAGCCGACGAUCCAUAGCUGGUUUGAGAGGAUGAUCAGCCACACUGGGACUGAGACACGGCCCAGACUCCUACGGGAGGCAGCAGUGGGGAAUCUUAAAAGAUGGGCGCAAGCCCGAUCU
RNAcentral lists this ribosomal RNA (318 nucleotides) under uncultured bacterium. Its description in RNAcentral is "bacterial SSU rRNA". It matches the Rfam family "Bacterial small subunit ribosomal RNA", at positions 46 to 389 of the family's 1533-position model. The record is from RNAcentral.